RNAcentral lists this ribosomal RNA (439 nucleotides) under uncultured bacterium. Its description in RNAcentral is "partial 16S ribosomal RNA". It matches the Rfam family "Bacterial small subunit ribosomal RNA", at positions 339 to 795 of the family's 1533-position model. The record is from RNAcentral.
CUACGGGUGGCUCCAGUGAGGAAUAUUGCACAAUGGGGGGAACCCUGAUGCAGCAACGCCGCGUGGAGGAUGACGCAUUUCGGUGUGUAAACUCCUUUUAUAUGUCAAGAAAAUGACGGUAGCAUAUGAAUAAGCACCGGCUAACUCCGUGCCAGCAGCUGCGGUAAUACGGAGGGUGCAAGCGUUACUCGGAAUCACUGGGCGUAAAGGACGCGUAGGCGGGUUGGAAAGUCAGGCGUGAAAUCCUACAGCUUAACUGUAGAACUGCACUUGAAACUUCUAAUCUAGAGUAUGGGAGGGGGAGAUGGAAUUAGUGGUGUAGGGGUAAAAUCCGUAGAUAUCACUAGGAAUACCUAAAGCGAAGGCGAUCUCCUGGAACAUUACUGACGCUAAGGCGUGAAAGCGUGGGGAGCAAACAGGAUUAGAUACCCGAGUAGUC